GCACCGGCUAACUACGUGCCAGCAGCCGCGGUAAUACGUAGGGUGCAAGCGUUGAAUCGGAAUUACUGGGCGUAAAGCGUGUGUAGGCGGUUCGGAAAGAAAGAUGUGAAAUCCCAGGGCUCAACCUUGGAACUGCAUAUUUUAACUGCCGAGCUAGAGUAUGUCAGAGGGGGGUAGAAUUCCACGUGUAGCAGUGAAAUGCGUAGAUAUGUGGAGGAAUACCGAUGGCGAAGGCAGCCCCCUGGGAUAAUACUGACGCUCAGACACGAAAGCGUGGGGAGCAAACAGGAUUAGAUACCCUGGUAGUCCACGCCCUAAACGAUGUCAACUAGCUGUUGGGGCCGUUAGGCCUUAGUAGCGCAGCUAACGCGUGAAGUUGACCGCCUGGGGAGUACNGUCGCAAGAU
Molecule: ribosomal RNA, 406 nt
Filed under: bacterium T-1-48-5C
Lineage: Bacteria
Description: bacterial SSU rRNA
Rfam family: Bacterial small subunit ribosomal RNA
Source: RNAcentral